Molecule: ribosomal RNA, 492 nt
Filed under: uncultured bacterium
Lineage: Bacteria
Description: partial 16S ribosomal RNA
Rfam family: Bacterial small subunit ribosomal RNA
Source: RNAcentral
AUUGAACGCUGGCGGCAUGCUUUACACAUGCAAGUCGAACGGUAACAGGCCUUCGGGUGCUGACGAGUGGCGAACGGGUGAGUAAUGCAUCGGAACGUACCCAGAGGUGGGGGAUAACGCAGCGAAAGCUGUGCUAAUACCGCAUGUGAUCUGAGGAUGAAAGCGGGGGACCGAGCAGCAAUGUUUGGCCUCGCGCCUUUGGAGCGGCCGAUGUCGGAUUAGCUAGUUGGUGGGGUAAAGGCCUACCAAGGCGACGAUCCGUAGCUGGUCUGAGAGGACGACCAGCCACACUGGGACUGAGACACGGCCCAGACUCCUACGGGAGGCAGCAGUGGGGAAUUUUGGACAAUGGGCGCAAGCCUGAUCCAGCAAUGCCGCGUGCGGGAAGAAGGCCUUCGGGUUGUAAUCCGCUUUUGGCAGGAACGAAACGGUGUCCGCUAAUACCGGGCGCUAAUGACGGUACCUGCAGAAUAAGCACCGGCUAACUACGUG